RNAcentral lists this ribosomal RNA (464 nucleotides) under uncultured Bacillota bacterium. RNAcentral describes it as "bacterial SSU rRNA". It matches the Rfam family "Bacterial small subunit ribosomal RNA", at positions 224 to 704 of the family's 1533-position model. Lineage: Bacteria; Bacillati; Bacillota. The record is from RNAcentral.
GAGGAGCCUGCGUCCGAUUAGCUAGUUGGUGGGGUAAAGGCCUACCAAGGCGAUGAUCGGUAGCUGGCCUGAGAGGAUGAUCAGCCAGACUGGGACUGCGACACGGCCCAGACUCCUACGGGAGGCAGCAGUUAGGAAUCUUGGGCAAUGGGCGAAAGCCUGACCCAGCAACGCCGCGUGGGUGACGAAGGCCUUCGGGUCGUAAAGCCCUUUUACACGGGAAGAUAAUGACGGUACCGUGUGAAUAAGCCCCGGCUAACUACGUGCCAGCAGCCGCGGUAAUACGUAGGGGGCGAGCGUUGUCCGGAUUUAUUGGGCGUAAAAGGCUUGUAGGUGGCCACGGCAAGUCGGAUGUGAAAUCUCCCGGCUCAACUGGGAGGGGUCAUUCGAUACUGCCGGGCUCGAGGCCGGUAGGGGGAAGCGGAAUUCCCGGUGUAGUGGUGGAAUGCGUAGAUAUCGGGAGG